Molecule: ribosomal RNA, 468 nt
Filed under: uncultured bacterium
Lineage: Bacteria
Description: partial 16S ribosomal RNA
Rfam family: Bacterial small subunit ribosomal RNA
Source: RNAcentral
GACGAACGCUGGCGGCGUGCUUAACACAUGCAAGUCGAACGGAAAGGCCCUGCUUUUGUGGGGUGCUCGAGUGGCGAACGGGUGAGUAACACGUGAGUAACCUGCCCUUGACUUUGGGAUAACUUCAGGAAACUGGGGCUAAUACCGGAUAGGAGCUCCUGCUGCAUGGUGGGGGUUGGAAAGUUUCGGCGGUUGGGGAUGGACUCGCGGCUUAUCAGCUUGUUGGUGGGGUAGUGGCUUACCAAGGCUUUGACGGGUAGCCGGCCUGAGAGGGUGACCGGCCACAUUGGGACUGAGAUACGGACCAGACUCCUACGGGAGGCAGCAGUGGGGAAUAUUGCACAAUGGGCGGAAGCCUGAUGCAGCAACGCCGCGUGCGGGAUGACGGCCUUCGGGUUGUAAACCGCUUUCGCCUGUGACGAAGCGUGAGUGACGGUAAUGGGUAGAGAAGCACCGGCUAACUACGUG